AUUUAUAUAGUUUAAUAAAACCUUACAUUUUCACUGUAAAAAUGAAAAGAAUUUUCUAUAAAUA
Molecule: transfer RNA, 64 nt
Filed under: Cucujus mniszechi
Lineage: Eukaryota; Metazoa; Arthropoda; Insecta; Coleoptera; Cucujidae
Description: tRNA-Glu
Rfam family: tRNA
About the family: Transfer RNA (tRNA) molecules are approximately 80 nucleotides in length. Their secondary structure includes four short double-helical elements and three loops (D, anti-codon, and T loops).
Source: RNAcentral